Carassius auratus (goldfish) is the source of this 1811-nucleotide long non-coding RNA. The record is from Ensembl. NCBI's taxonomy places the organism in Eukaryota, Metazoa, Chordata, Actinopteri, Cypriniformes, Cyprinidae.
UCUCGCUUCCACAUAUCUGGCCUUGGGUGCCUAUGACGUUGAACAGCAGAAGUUUCAAGUACAUCUCCUGCAUCUCCUUCACUGACAGCUCCUUGAGCUGUGUCUGUAUCACUACCAUUAUCUGGGCUGUCAUCUUUCUCAGGUGUAUAGUCCUCAUUCAAAACAGUGUCAUCGAUUUCACUAUUUGACGAUAAAUCAGGAUCUGAUUCUGCUCUGGAGGCUUUACUGGCCGUUUCCUCUUCUAUUUGUUGCCCCAUGUCUACGCCAUUACCUUCUUUCUCAGGUGUAUAGUCCUCAUUCAAAACAGUGUCAUCGAUUUCACUAUUUGACGAUAAAUCAGGAUCUGAUUCUGCUCUGGAGGCUUUACUGGCCGUUUCCUCUUCUAUUUGUUGCCCCAUGUCUACGCCAUUACCUUCUUUCUCAGGUCUGCUCUCAUCUAAAUCCUCCAACUCCACUACAUGGGUAUCAACUUUAUUUCCUGACAUUAAAACAGACAAUGGAGUGCUGUUGAGUAUUUUAACUCAGUAAAUCAUGUUAAAUUCAUAGGUCCACUGCAAAAAAAAAAAAAAAAAAAAAAAAAAAAAAAAAAUCUAAAUCUUACCAAAUACUUCUUAUGUCUAGUCAAAAUGUCUAAUUUAUAUAAAAAACUAUUUUACUUUUUUUAUUUUACUAUUUUUACUUUUAUUUGCAUUUAAAAUAAAAAGUAAAUGCUUGAAAAAUUACUUCACUUUAUUUUUUCCAGCAUCUUUGCAUAUCUGAACCCUUUCCAGCAGUGACUGUAUGAUUUUGAGAUACAUCCUUUCACAUUGAGGACAUUUGCGGGACUCAAACACAACUAUUUAAAAAGAUUCAAACAUUCACUGAUGCUCCAGAAGGAAACAAGAUGCAUUAAGAGCUGGGGGGUGAAAACUUUUGGAAUUUGAAGAUCAAUGUAAAUUGUACUUAAUUUGUGUACCGGGAAACAUACAAGUAUAUUCUGUUGCUCACGAAGGGCAGAACUAAAUGGAAAACAAUUAUAUUUCAACAAAAUAAGAAAAAUUUGGCCAUCUUCAUUGUGUUCAAAAGUUUUCACCCCCCAGCUCUUAAUGCAUCUUGUUUCCUUCUGGAGCAUCAGUGAAUGUUUGAAUCUUUUUAAAUAGUUGUGUUUGAGUCCCUCAAAUGUCCUCAGUGUGAUAAGGUGUAUCUCAAAAUCAUAAAGUCACUGCUGGAAAGGGUUCAAAUAUGCAAACAUACUGGAAAACUGAAGAAUCUGCAGGACCUUAAAGAUUUUUCUGAAGAACGUUGCUCAGUUUAACUGUUCAGAACAAACAAGGGACUCAUGCACAACCAUCACAAAACAGAAAGACAGUCGAGGAUCAUCAGGUAACAGAAGACAGUAUAUAUAACUUUUGAGUGGGGUUAUUUUAAUAAUUUCAGCAAUUCUUUUGUCUUGUGGACUAAAUGUUAAUAUCUUUUAUGUACAAUAUCUUACUCAGGACAGUACUAAAUAAAAAAUAACACGCAUUUAGUAUGAUCUCUCUUAUUUUUUGAAAAUUACUCAUAUUUUCACAGAUUCUGCAAGGGGUGCCCAAACUUUCGAUCCCCACUGUAAAUGCAUAAAAACUAUCAUAUUGUAUUAUUUGUCUGAUGAUGUUCAAUUAUCAAUCAAUCCAUCCAUAACCAAGAUAAUUACUAGACGAUUUUCAUUAUCAUUAUUAUUAGUAUCAUCAUUAUCAUAGAUUUUGGCCUUUAUCAUAGACUUUGGCCUUUUCAGAACUUGUACUAUUAUGAUCAUUAUUAUUAUCAAUAUCUUUAUUAUUAUUAUCAUUACU